CGCCAAAGCACAAAGCAGGCACACAAACAAUUCUAUCUUUCUGUCUCUCUCAGCGGUUAUAGGUUUGCGAUUCUUCGUUUUCAUCACCGAAUCAACGGAGAAUUGGACGAUCUCAGUUCCAAUAUCUUCUUCUCAGAUCCACCCAAACAAGGAGAAAUCUCGAUCUGAUCUUCCUACUUCAUCUUACCAGAUUUCGUUUCUCUAUCCAUCCAGGAAACAAUUUAACCAGAAACAGCUUCUAUGGGAACAGAGGAGAUUAAGAAGGAUAUGGAUGUGAGCGAGUGGUUUUCACAGCUGACCUAUGACCAGUGGAUAGCAAUACCUGCUUCUGGUGCACGACCUUCAGCUCGCUAUAAGCAUGCUGCAGCAGUUGCUGAUGAAAAGCUGUACAUCUCUGGUGGGAGUCGCAAUGGUCGGUACCUAUCUGAUGUUCAGGUAUUUGAUUUUAGAAGUUCAGCAUGGUCUAGUCUAAAACUCAAAUCUGAGCUGAAAGCUGAUAAAGCUGAAGAUAACUCUCAGGAAGUUCUUCCAGCCACCUCAGAUCACAGUAUGGUUAAGUGGGGAAACAAACUACUACUUCUUGGUGGGCAUUCCAAGAAAUCUUCUGAUAGUAUGACAGUGCGGUUCAUUGAUCUGGAAACACACCUCUGUGGUGUCAUUGAAACAUCAGGAAAUGCUCCGGUAGCUCGAGGGGGCCAUUCUGCUACUUUGGUUGGUUCUAGGCUGAUAAUUUUUGGUGGAGAAAAUAGUAGCAGGAGAUUGCUUAAUGAUCUUUAUGCUCUUGAUUUGGAAAAAAUGACUUGGGAUGUAUUAGAGACAACGCAGACACCUCCAGCUCCCAGAUUUGAUCACACAGCCACGCUACAUGCAGGACGCUACCUUCUAAUAUUUGGUGGUUGUUCUCAUUCCAUCUUUUUCAAUGAUCUCCAUGUACUAGACUUGCAAACUAUGGAGUGGUCCCAACCAGAAAUUCAAGGCCAUUUGGUAGCCCCUAGGGCUGGUCAUGCCGGUAUAGCCAUUGAUGAAAACUGGUAUAUUGUUGGUGGUGGAGAUAACAAAAAUGGAUGCCCAGAAACCCUUGUAUUGAAUAUGUCUAAGCUAGCAUGGUCAGCGUUGACAAGUGUAAAGGGAAGGGAUCCUCUUGCUAGUGAGGGACUCAGUGUUUGCUCAACAUCAAUUGAUGGAGAGAAGCAUUUGGUUGCCUUUGGUGGCUAUAACGGGAAAUAUAACAAUGAGGUUUUUGUUAUGAGACUCAAACCAAGAGACAUGCUCCGCCCCAAGAUUUUUCAGUCACCAGCGGCAGCUGCAGCAGCAGCUUCUGUUACUGCUGCAUAUGCCUUGGCCAAAUCUGAAAAGUUGGAUUUCUCCAACAUGAAUUUCAACUCGAGAGGCGUUGAAAGCAGUCCUUCUGAGCAAGAUUUAACAAUUGAAAUUGAUGCAAUUAAAGAAGACAAAAAGGUGUUGGAACUGUCACUUGCAGAAGUGAGAGCAGAAAAUUCUCGGCUCAGGGAAAAGAUUGAUGAAGUUAACAGUACUCAUUCGGAAUUGUCCAAGGAACUUCAUUCUGUCCAAGGUCAACUGGUAGCUGAGAGAUCAAGAUGCUUUAAACUGGAGGCACAAAUAGCUGAAUUACAGAAGAUGCUAGAAUCACUGCAGUCCAUAGAGAAUGAAGUACAAAUACUUAGGAGACAGAAGUCUGCUAUUGAGCGGGAGAUAGAGCUUAAUGCAUCUGAACAGAGACAAGGUUCUGGGGGUGUCUGGCGGUGGUUAGCUGGGUAAAUCUACAACCCAUGAAAGAUGUGAGGUCAGUGCCUCAAAAUUGUGCAAAAGAUUAAGCCAGACAGUACGUACCUCUGUGAAACUAACCCUGUGGCCUUUUAUACGUGCCUAUAUAGGUAGGCACUUCUUUGUUGCUAUAUUUGACAGUGGUUUUGGAGAUUGUUAGGAGAUGAGUGUAUGAUGAAUAAAAGGAAUGUAGUUCGAAAUGUCAGA
Molecule: unclassified non-coding RNA, 1992 nt
Filed under: Hevea brasiliensis (rubber tree)
Lineage: Eukaryota; Viridiplantae; Streptophyta; Magnoliopsida; Malpighiales; Euphorbiaceae
Source: RNAcentral